CCCUGCCCCGCGGGGAGGCGGUUGAGGCCCGGCGAGAAUUCGAGCGCUGCGCGGGCGGGCCAGCAGAGUUGGGGGACCCUGCGCACCCUCCGCAGCUGCUGGCCCGGGUGCUAAGCCCCUCACUGCCCAGGCAGGCGGGGCGCCAGCUGGCCGCUCUGAGUGCGGCGCCCGCCGAGCCUACGCCCACCCGGAACUCGCGCUGGCUCGCGAGCGCCGCGCGCUGCCCGGGUUCCCAUCCGCGCCUCUCCCUCCACACCUCCCAGCAAGCAGAGGGAGCCGGCUCUGGCCUCCGCCAGCCCAGAGAGGCUUCCACAGUGCAGCGGCGGGCUGAAGGGCUCCUCAAGCGCGGCCAGAGUGGACGCCGAGGCCGAGGAGGCGCGGAGAGCGAGCGAGGGCUGCUAGCCCAUGCAAUGGACUCCAUGAAGGUUCUUAUGCUUUAAUGCUUUAUUUUUGUGUGGUUGCCUCCUGCCAGGAGGUGGCGCUUUCCAGAAAGCAUCAGCUAGUAUAGAGAGGGACUAGAGGUGGGCAGGGCUCUAGUACUCCGAAGAUUAUAUGCCCUUUGUCUUCCGCUACCAGGGUGGAUAAGGAAGGACCAUUUGGCAAGGGCAGAGCUAGGCAUGUCUGAGCUCAGACUCUCCUUAGGGGGGUCUUGCUGCAGCUGCUGUGGGGGAUGGGGUGAGAUUCCCAGGUCACUGGAGUUGUGUGCCUAGGAGGAUUAUGGCUGCCUUUGCUGAGUCAUGCCGGUUAUCAGGAAAGUAGGGGAAAGCCAGAAGUCACAGGCUUCACCCAGCUCCCAUACAAAACGAAGGGCCGGUCUCACUCCCACCAUGCCCCCACCAAUAGCUCCGAGUCUGUUUCCAGGUCGAGGGUGUGAUGGGCUUGAAAACUUGCCGCGGGUUACCCACCUCCAGCUGCCAGAGAAAAGGGCUUAGUUCUUCCCCUGCCUGUGGAGUCUGCACACCAGAUUUGAGCCCUCCCUCGAGUUCUGGCCAGGAGACUUCUCACCCUGUUCAAAGUGUUACAAAGUUCAGCUAGAGAUUUCCUUCUCCCUGUGAAGUAUACUCCACGCUCCUUUGAUCACCCACCUGAUGGAUCUCUGUGGUGCCAGGAAGGAAUGUCCCUAGCAAGGGGACAUAGCGAGCUCCCAGGGCGUUUCUGCUGCUUCCUCUACCCCUGCAUUUCAGCUCUCAAAAUUGGCUCAGCUCCAGGUUCCUGCUUGAUUUGUGAAACAGCCCAGGAAUAAGGGACAUUCUCCUGGAUCAUUCUGCUUCGUGAGAGGAUGAGGGCUCAGGAAACCGCACUCACCUGAUACUACCAAGAAGAGAAAAAAGACAACAGCUCAAGGAAGUAGAAGAAAAUUCUUUCUGUGAGUUCUUUCUAAAGAUCUUAUCAGUUUCUUACGUAUUUAAAUAUUGCAUAACAAUUUUAGAGUAGAAUAUAUAUAACAGUAGAGGAUAAAAAAUUGUAACAG
This 1471-nucleotide long non-coding RNA is filed under the name Homo sapiens (human). Its description in RNAcentral is "HSALNT0034824". The record is from RNAcentral. Lineage: Eukaryota; Metazoa; Chordata; Mammalia; Primates; Hominidae.